AAUCAACGCUGGCGGCGUGCCUCAGACAUGCAAGUCGAACGCGAAAUUUCCCUUCGGGGAGAAAGUAGAGUGGCGCACGGGUGAGUAACACGUAGGUAAUUUGCCUUUGGGUGGGGAAUAACUCAGGGAAACUUGAGCUAAUACCGCAUAAUGCAGCGGCUCGACAUCGAGACAGUUGUUAAAGCGGGGGAUUGGAGCAAUCCGACCUCGCGCCUAAAGAGAAGCCUGCGGCAGAUUAGCUAGUUGGUAAGGUAAUGGCGUACCAAGGCGACGAUCUGUAACCGGCCUGAGAGGGCGGUCGGGUCACACUGACACUGACAUACGGGUCAGACUCCUACGGGAGGCAGCAGUCGGGAA
This 357-nucleotide ribosomal RNA is filed under the name uncultured bacterium. Its description in RNAcentral is "bacterial SSU rRNA". It matches the Rfam family "Bacterial small subunit ribosomal RNA", at positions 32 to 361 of the family's 1533-position model. The record is from RNAcentral.